This 562-nucleotide ribosomal RNA is filed under the name uncultured bacterium. RNAcentral's name for it is "partial 16S ribosomal RNA". It matches the Rfam family "Bacterial small subunit ribosomal RNA", at positions 355 to 909 of the family's 1533-position model. The record is from RNAcentral.
UGGGGAAUUUUGGACAAUGGGGGAAACCCUGAUCCAGCCAUCCCGCGUGUGCGAUGAAGGCCUUCGGGUUGUAAAGCACUUUUGGCAGGAAAGAAACGUCGCGGGUUAAUACCCCCGCNAAACUGACGGUACCUGCAGAAUAAGCACCGGCUAACUACGUGCCAGCAGCCGCGGUAAUACGUAGGGUGCAAGCGUUAAUCGGAAUUACUGGGCGUAAAGCGUGCGCAGGCGGUUCGGAAAGAAAGAUGUGAAAUCCCNGAGCUUAACUUUGGAACUGCAUUUUUAACUACCGGGCUAGAGUGUGUCAGAGGGAGGUGGAAUUCCGCGUGUAGCAGUGAAAUGCGUAGAUAUGCGGAGGAACACCGAUGGCGAAGGCAGCCUCCUGGGAUAACACUGACGCUCAUGCACGAAAGCGUGGGGAGCAAACAGGAUUAGAUACCCUGGUAGUCCACGCCCUAAACGAUGUCAACUAGCUGUUGGGGCCUUCGGGCCUUGGUAGCGCAGCUAACGCGUGAAGUUGACCGCCUGGGGAGUACGGUCGCAAGAUUAAAACUCAAAGGAA